AGUGAACGCUGGCGGUAGGCCUAACACAUGCAAGUCGAACGGCAGCACAGUAAGAGCUUGCUCUUACGGGUGGCGAGUGGCGGACGGGUGGGGAAUACAUCGGAAUCUACUUUUUCGUGGGGGAUAACGUAGGGAAACUUACGCUAAUACAGCAUACGACCUACGGGUGAAAGCAGGGAAUCUUCGGAAUUUGAUCGAUAGAAUGUGCAGAUGUCGGAUUAGCUAGUUGGCGGGGUAAAGGCCCACCAAGGCGACGAUCCUUAGCUGGUCUGAGAGGAUGAUCAGCCACACUGGAACUGAGACACGGUCCAGACUCCUACGGGAGGAGGCAGUGGGGAAUAUUGGACAAUGGGCGCAAGCCUGAUCCAGCCAUACCGCGUGGUGGAAGAAGGCCUUCGGUUGGUAAAGCCCGUUUGUUGGGAAAGAAAAGCAGCAGGUUAAUACCCCGCUGUUCUGACGGUACCCAAAGAAUAAGCACCGGCUAACUUCGUG
This 492-nucleotide ribosomal RNA is filed under the name uncultured bacterium. RNAcentral describes it as "partial 16S ribosomal RNA". It matches the Rfam family "Bacterial small subunit ribosomal RNA", at positions 29 to 507 of the family's 1533-position model. The record is from RNAcentral.